CACGGAAUACAUUUUAUGGCCCUAAAUCAAAAGUGACGGUUAUUUAUCAUUUAGUAAUUACUAAUUAGUUGCACCGUCCCAAGUAUGAUUGUUUAUGCACCAUGCACAGACUCAGUUGUAUGGGUGAUUUUCGGUCUGCAUUAAGUAAUGAAAGAGAAACUUAGGCAAUCUACAAAUAAGAAUUUGGCGAAAAACAUGAGAAAACACAAGAAUCAUCCGAUUUUCUAAAACAUUUAACGCAUCAAGCAGUAGUAUUGCAGAAAAAAAUGGACGAAAUCUAUAUGGGGAAAUCUGGGGCCAUCUUACCUCCCAUUCAAAUACGGAGGGGGUGUAUUUAAUUCUUACAUACAAUCUGCUAAACUUAUAAGUUUAGCUAAUGUUGUUAGUCAUUUUUUGAAUUGCUCUGUGUCCUCCUGCUCAUCUCCACAUCCUCAAAAUACAUUAGAUGAUGUAAAACCAACUAAAAAGCAUAACAAACGAAAGAGUCGACUAAAUCGAAUAUUUACUGUUGAAAAUAAAGAAUGGGCUAAUUUAACACGUCAAACAUUGGGGACAUGAAUUCGAACUGAACUUAAAUCGUACUAUGUUUGGGAACUAGUGUCAGAAACAGUUGAAUCUAUUUGUGAACACUACUCAAUUCAGAAAAUAUCAUUGCUUAGGUCAUUUUGUUUAAAAAUUGGUACUCAUAUAUGAUUACGUGAAUAUUCCUUUGAUGCAAAAAAUAGAUUUAAUUUUUUUGAAGAAGAUGUCAUCAAUAUGUUCCCAGUUGUUAAGCAUAUCAAUCCAAGAGCAACUGACGCAUUUUAUUUCUACUCUACUACUGGUCAAACUAAGAUUCAACAAGGUCUUUUGAAAGAAGUGUAUUGUCCAGUGUUUAAGAAUGUUGGCUAGAUUGAGUUACAUAAUGGGCGAUCAUAAUGAAUCUAUGGCAUUCCAGUAAAAAGCUGUUUUUAUGUCGGAACCAGUAAAUAGAAUUUAUCACCCAUACACAAUUACUGAAUAUAUCCAUUCAGCUCUAUACUGUUAUGCAAAUAAUCAAAUCACUCCUGCCCUAAAGUAUUUAAACUUUGAAAAACUUUAAGGCAGAAGUAGAAAAACGUUCAGAAACUUAAGAUUUUGUAAAUGUACUAACAGAGCAACAAGACUGUACAAGUUGAGUACUUUCAAAACACGUAGAAUAGUAUAUAUUAAGCAUAGUUGCCGAUCAACUAAUAAUAGAAAAUUAUGCAAGAACCAUACUUUAUAGUAUACCAUAUACACGUUUGUGAAGACCCGGAGAGCUAUCCUCCAUUAAAAUUAUGGCCUCUUUAUUUAUAAUUAUUUACGGUUGGAUAUCGGCAUUGUGUCCACACUCAAAUCUAGAGUAGGUAUUAGUCGUGUAUUCUUUUUGAAAUCCAAUGAAAAUACAUACAAUUUUUGUCAAGAUGUAAAACUCUGCACAGGUUAUGUUUUUUUUAUUAUAAUAAAUUCUAAAUGAAGACUGGAAUUUGUAUAUUAAGUAAAAUAUAUAAAUUAAGGUUUAAGUAAAGAAAUUUGGUAAGUUUUUGUGAAAUAAUAAAUUUUGAUGUUUAUAAUAACAAGUAAGCAAGUUUCUUGAUGACAGGAACUGUCCGUUCUAACUGCGCCCAAGGCACGGGUAAAAACAAAAUCAUACAUGUAAACUGCGCCCGAGUUCUUAUCAAGUAGAAAAAGGUGACAUGUAAACUGUAAUGAAAACAACUUAGAUCGUUACAGCCAUAUGAUAUAUACAUCAGUUUACAUAUACCUAUUUUGAACCAAAUUAUAGUCGGGUCGCAGUUUGUAUGUUUGUAAUUGUAUUAACAUUUAUGAUUAUUCUUAUUUUGUGAUAAUUUUGUAUAUUUGUAAUUGUGUUAUUA
This is a long non-coding RNA of Adelges cooleyi (spruce gall adelgid), 1877 nucleotides long. RefSeq lists it as uncharacterized. The transcript is spliced from 7 exons. The record is from RefSeq and is a predicted model, not a curated record. Lineage: Eukaryota; Metazoa; Arthropoda; Insecta; Hemiptera; Adelgidae.